UAGCUUGCUAGAUUGAUGGCGAGUGGCGAACGGGUGAGUAAUACAUCGGAACGUGCCCUGUAGUGGGGGAUAACUAGUCGAAAGAUUAGCUAAUACCGCAUACGACCUGAGGGUGAAAGUGGGGGACCGCAAGGCCUCAUGCUAUAGGAGCGGCCGAUGUCUGAUUAGCUAGUUGGUGAGGUAAAGGCUCACCAAGGCGACGAUCAGUAGCUGGUCUGAGAGGACGAUCAGCCACACUGGGACUGAGACACGGCCCAGACUCCUACGGGAGGCAGCAGUGGGGAAUUUUGGACAAUGGGCGAAAGCCUGAUCCAGCAAUGCCGCGUGUGUGAAGAAGGCCUUCGGGUUGUAAAGCACUUUUGUCCGGAAAGAAAUGGCUCUGGUUAAUACCUGGGGUCGAUGACGGUACCGGAAGAAUAAGGACCGGCUAACUACGUGCCAGCAGCCGCGGUAAUACGUAGGGUCCAAGUGUUAAUCGGAAUUACUGGGCGUAAAGCGUGCGCAGGCGGUUGUGCAAGACCGAUGUGAAAUCCCCGAGCUUAACUUGGGAAUUGCAUUGGUGACUGCACGGCUAGAGUGUGUCAGAGGGGGGUAGAAUUCCACGUGUAGCAGUGAAAUGCGUAGAGAUGUGGAGGAAUACCGAUGGCGAAGGCAGCCCCCUGGGAUAACACUGACGCUCAUGCACGAAAGCGUGGGGAGCAAACAGGAUUAGAUACCCUGGUAGUCCACGCCCUAAACGAUGUCAACUAGUUGUUGGGGAUUCAUUUCCUUAGUAACGUAGCUAACGCGUGAAGUUGACCGCCUGGGGAGUACGGUCGCAAGAUUAAAACUCAAAGGAAUUGACGGGGACCCGCACAAGCGGUGGAUGAUGUGGAUUAAUUCGAUGCAACGCGAAAAACCUUACCUACCCUUGACAUGCCACUAACGAAGCAGAGAUGCAUUAGGUGCUCGAAAGAGAAAGUGGACACAGGUGCUGCAUGGCUGUCGUCAGCUCGUGUCGUGAGAUGUUGGGUUAAGUCCCGCAACGAGCGCAACCCUUGUCUCUAGUUGCUACGAAAGGGCACUCUAGAGAGACUGCCGGUGACAAACCGGAGGAAGGUGGGGAUGACGUCAAGUCCUCAUGGCCCUUAUGGGUAGGGCUUCACACGUCAUACAAUGGUGCAUACAGAGGGUUGCCAAGCCGCGAGGUGGAGCUAAUCCCAGAAAAUGCAUCGUAGUCCGGAUCGUAGUCUGCAACUCG
Molecule: ribosomal RNA, 1240 nt
Filed under: uncultured Ralstonia sp.
Lineage: Bacteria; Pseudomonadati; Pseudomonadota; Betaproteobacteria; Burkholderiales; Burkholderiaceae
Description: bacterial SSU rRNA
Rfam family: Bacterial small subunit ribosomal RNA
Source: RNAcentral